GACGAACGCUGGCGGCGUGCUUAACACAUGCAAGUCGAACGGAAAGGCCUGCUUUCCCUUGUGGAUUGCGGGUACUCGCGUGGCGAACGGGUGAGUAACACGUGAGUGAUCUGCCCCCAACUUGGGUAUAAGCCUGGGAAACUGGGUCUAAUUCCCGAUAGGACUGCAGGGUGGUGCCUGUGGUGGCAAACGCUUUUCUAGUGGUUGGGGAUGAGCUCGCGGCCUAUCAGCUUGUUGGAGGGGUAAUGGCCUACCAAGGCGGCGACGGGUAGCCGGCCUGGGAGGGUGGACGGCCACAUUGGGACUGGGACACGGCCCAAACGCCUACGGGAGGCAGCAGUGGGGAAUAAUGGACAAUGGGCGGAAGGCUGAUGCAGCGGCGCCGCGUGGGGGAUGACGGCCUUCGGGUUGUAGACUCCUUUCGACCGCGAGGAAGCCACCUGGUUGGAAGGGUGGUGACGGUAGUGGUGGAAGAAGCACCGGCUAACUACGUG
RNAcentral lists this ribosomal RNA (494 nucleotides) under uncultured bacterium. RNAcentral's name for it is "partial 16S ribosomal RNA". It matches the Rfam family "Bacterial small subunit ribosomal RNA", at positions 28 to 507 of the family's 1533-position model. The record is from RNAcentral.